RNAcentral lists this ribosomal RNA (429 nucleotides) under uncultured archaeon. Its description in RNAcentral is "bacterial SSU rRNA". It matches the Rfam family "Archaeal small subunit ribosomal RNA", at positions 474 to 903 of the family's 1478-position model. The record is from RNAcentral.
UACCUGCAGCUCGAGUGGUAACCGCUAUUAUUGGGCCUAAAGCGUCCGUAGCCGGUUUGGUAAAUAUCUGGGUAAAUCGUGAGGCUUAACUUCACGAAUUUCGGAUAGACUGCCAGACUUGGGAUCGGGGGAGGUCAGAGGUACUCCAGGGGUAGCGGUGAAAUGUUGUAAUCCUUGGAGGACCACCGGUAGCGAAGGCGUCUGACUAGAACGAGUCCGACGGUGAGGGACGAAGCCCUGGGGCGCAAACCGGAUUAGAUACCCGGGUAGUCCAGGGUGUAAACUAUGUGGGCUUUGUAUUGGUGGUCCCACGUGGGCGUCCAGUGCAGAAGAGAAGUUGUUAAGCCCACCGCCUGGGAAGUACGGUCGCAAGGCUGAAACUUAAAGGAAUUGGCGGGGGAGCACAGCAACGGGAGGAGCGUGCGGUUU